This 387-nucleotide ribosomal RNA is filed under the name uncultured Acidithiobacillus sp. RNAcentral's name for it is "bacterial SSU rRNA". It matches the Rfam family "Bacterial small subunit ribosomal RNA", at positions 486 to 880 of the family's 1533-position model. The record is from RNAcentral. Lineage: Bacteria; Pseudomonadati; Pseudomonadota; Acidithiobacillia; Acidithiobacillales; Acidithiobacillaceae.
GGGGGCACGGGGGGGCAGCAGCCGCGGUAAUACGGGGGGUGCAAGCGUUAAUCGGAAUCACUGGGCGUAAAGGGUGCGUAGGCGGUACGUUAGGUCUGUCGUGAAAUACCCCGGGCUCAACCUGGGAAUGGCGGUGGAAACCGGUGUACUAGAGUAUGGGAGAGGGUGGUGGAAUUCCAGGUGUAGCGGUGAAAUGCGUAGAGAUCUGGAGNAACAUCAGUGGCGAAGGCGGCCACCUGGCCCAAUACUGACGCUGAGGCACGAAAGCGUGGGGAGCAAACAGGAUUAGAUACCCUGGUAGUCCACGCCCUAAACGAUGAAUACUAGAUGUUUGGUGCCUAGCGUANUGAGUGUCGUAGCGGANACGAUAAUAUUCCGCCUGGAAGA